UAAAAGACUUAGAUGAGGAAAAGUAGGAUUUACCGUUUUUUAAAAGAGAGCUUCAGGAGCUGAAACGAAGCAAAAAUGUGGAUCUGAAUAAUGGCCUCGGAGUUUCGUGCUGAACAUAUCGAUGAUAGUAGUAGGUUCCGACGGGAUUUGGUACUCGUUAUCAAUACCACAGUAUAAAGAGAGUUUUAUGAGAAACUCACGUACUUGAUGAGGCUGUAUGUGUGAGCAUACAGUAAAGUAAGGUGGUACCACGUUAAUUUAAACCACGUCCUUACC
Molecule: non-coding RNA, 276 nt
Filed under: Virgibacillus necropolis
Lineage: Bacteria; Bacillati; Bacillota; Bacilli; Caryophanales; Bacillaceae
Description: T-box sequence
Rfam family: T-box leader
About the family: Uncharged tRNA acts as the effector for transcription antitermination of genes in the T-box leader family. T-boxes are found upstream of many aminoacyl-tRNA synthetase genes and some amino acid biosynthetic genes usually in Gram-positive bacteria.
Source: RNAcentral